Zonotrichia albicollis (white-throated sparrow) is the source of this 509-nucleotide non-coding RNA. Lineage: Eukaryota; Metazoa; Chordata; Aves; Passeriformes; Passerellidae. The record is from RefSeq and is a predicted model, not a curated record.
AUGGAAUGAAAUGCAUUCAAGGGAUAAUGUCUCUCUGCCAUCAUAUUUCAAGUGCAAGACCACAACGAAGUGAAAUUCACCUUCACACUGCACAUGCCAACCUGAUCCAGCCAUGGAUGGAAGCAAGGCCAGGGAAUGCUUGCUGCAGCCCCAUUAAGACUUGAACACCAACAGGCAGCUGAGGAAAGGCAGCAGGCUAAAUGGUCAGGACAAAUGAGCUGUUAUUUGGGGCAAGCUGGCUUUGUUCCUGCCUUUCAGGAGCCCACACAUGAGCUCUCUGAACCUGGGAGCAGAUGAUCAGCAGUGAAAGUGCUGGAGGGCCUCAAUCUGCAAGUGCUGUUCAUGAAUUAUUAACAAGGCUUCUCCUGCCAGGGAAGUUAUGCACAGGAAAGAAGAGAUUCCCUCUCUGCAGAGCUGCUGCUAUCCAAAGGACAAAACAGCAGCCAGCAGGACUCUUGUCUCCUCUGUCACAGGUCCUCAGCUCUUUGAUCUUUUUUCUGACAUCAGGU